AUGAGAGACCUCCACCUCCCGCUGAACCAGACCCAGAGGGUCCGCCUCGAGGCCGCGCUCCACGAGCUCCAGACCCUCGCCCCCGCGGCCGCGUCCGCCGCCGCCGUCACCGUCGCGGACAACAUCCCCGUCAACCACGAGGACAACAUCCUCAAAGGGCAUGGUACCACGGACCAGGAUGGGGAGGUGGUGGCGACGCUGUGCGGCGUCGUGGAGCGGGUCAACAAGCUCGUCUACGUGCGGACGCUCCGGGCGAGGUAUAAGCCAGAGGUUGGUGAUAUCAUAGUUGGCCGUGUCAUCGAGAUUGCUCCAAAGCGCUGGCGGUUGGAGAUAAACUUUAGUCAAGAUGCUGUUUUGAUGCUUUCUUCGAUGAAUUUGCCUGAUGGAAUUCAGAGAAGAAGAACUGCGGUUGAUGAGCUUAAUAUGCGGGCUAUAUUUGAAGAAAAUGAUGUUGUCUGCGCUGAAGUUCGUGGUUUCCAACAUGAUGGAUCUCUUCAUCUACAAGCAAGGAGUCAAAAAUAUGGAAAGCUUCAGAGAGGUCAAUUGCUCACGGUGCCUGCGUAUCUGGUAAAACGCCGGAAGCUGCAUUUCCAUCAUCUAGAGCAGUAUGACGUGGACCUGAUCCUUGGCUGCAACGGUUUCAUCUGGGUCGGUGAGCACGUCGUGGUGCGUGAAAUUGCUGAUUUGAAGGAAGACGAACAGAAGCUGAGCGCCGAAGCGGAGACUUUUACCCCAAUAGAAACAAGGAGACACAUUUGCCGUCUUGCCAAUGCUGUGCGCGUGCUUUCAGCCCUAGGAUUCACUCUGACCGUCGAGCUGAUAAUUCAGACCGCAGAAGCGAGCGUAUCAUCAAAUGUCGAGAUAAACGACAUGCUCGGGGCCGAAUUCUACGUCCAGACGGCGGAGAGAGAGGCUAAGCGUCGAGGUGACCUCCUGGGAAAGAAGAGGUAA
This 951-nucleotide ribosomal RNA is filed under the name Triticum aestivum (bread wheat). Its description in RNAcentral is "partial small subunit ribosomal RNA". Lineage: Eukaryota; Viridiplantae; Streptophyta; Magnoliopsida; Poales; Poaceae. The record is from RNAcentral.